This 1245-nucleotide ribosomal RNA is filed under the name Triticum aestivum (bread wheat). RNAcentral's name for it is "partial small subunit ribosomal RNA". Lineage: Eukaryota; Viridiplantae; Streptophyta; Magnoliopsida; Poales; Poaceae. The record is from RNAcentral.
AUGGCAUCUGGUAAUCAGUCGUUCGAAGACAAUGGGAACCCAUUAGAUUUAGCGCCCGAGUCGCUAAGGAACAUGGCAGAUUUGCCGUCUAGAGUGACGUUACCUCCACCGCCACCAUUACCCCCUCAUGCCCCGGGAUCCGAUCAACUUUCUCUAAUGUACCAGUGGAUGGAGCAAUCUCGUCGAGACUCUCUAGAACACCAGAAUAAGUUCAUGGAACAGAUGUUUGGUAUGAUGAGAGGCCAACUGACUAAAAACUCAGAACAAGGUGUCACGAUUGGAGACUUCCAAAAGACUAGACCACCAACCUUCUCAACUGCCACACAUCCAUUAGCCGCAGAUGAUUGGUUGAUGGACAUAGAGCUGAAACUUAGCACUGUGGGAUGCACGGAUCAAGAAAAGGUUCGGUAUGCAUCCCAUCAGUUAAUUGGUCCUGCUGCCACAUGGUGGAGAAAUGUCCAAAUUAUCAUACCAGAAAACCACAUAGUCACUUGGGACGAAUUUAAGAGGAGAUUCCGAGAUAACUAUGUCCCGCAAAGUGCGAUGGAAAUAAAAAGGAAGGAAUUCCUGAACCUUAAGCAAGGGUCUAAAACCAUCGCAGUGUACCUAGAUGAAUUUAACUCACUAUCCCGCUAUGCACCAGAGGACACAAACACUGAGACCAAAAAGGUGUACCGGUUCAUAGAAGGAUUGAACCCAUCCAUACAACUGAUUAUAGCUCCUAUAAAAAUAACUGAGUUCCGGGAGCUAGUAGACCGAUUCAUUACAAUCGAGAACCGGCAAAUCACCAUAGAGGAAGAGCACAGGAAGAAAGCUAGGAUGGACCCAAGGUUUGCCAUGAAAAGUGGAAAUCGUCCUGUUGGCCUAGUCCGCGUGCCAAUGGCCGGGCCCGUCCGUCCUCCUUUCUGUCAAGCUCCUAGACCACCUUUUAUGCCUCCGAGAGGCCCUAUCAAAUGUCAUGUGUGCAGUGGACCACACUUGGCUCGAGAUUGCCCAAAGGCGAGUGUUGUUUGUUUUGGUUGUGGGCAAAAGGGACACUACAAAACCAGUGCCCAAGCAAGAGUCAACCACAAUCUGGUACAAAUGGAGCUGUCCCACCUCAAAAUAAGCGUCAGGCUAAUUCAGCCCAAGUACACGGGAAUGCGUCUACUGCCAACCGCGGGCGUGGUCGUGGCGGUCUCACAUGUGGACCAUUCCGCCUGGCGCAUAUGGAUGUGGCACAAGUGGAGUCGGCUUCAGACAUAG